GCGCCUGUAGCUCAGCUGGAUAGAGCGCUGCCCUCCGGAGGCAGAGGUCUCAGGUUCGAGUCCUGUCGGGCGCACCA
This 77-nucleotide transfer RNA is filed under the name Candidatus Doolittlea endobia. RNAcentral describes it as "tRNA-Arg". It matches the Rfam family "tRNA". Rfam says of the family: Transfer RNA (tRNA) molecules are approximately 80 nucleotides in length. Their secondary structure includes four short double-helical elements and three loops (D, anti-codon, and T loops). The record is from RNAcentral. Lineage: Bacteria; Pseudomonadati; Pseudomonadota; Gammaproteobacteria; Enterobacterales; Enterobacteriaceae.